RNAcentral lists this ribosomal RNA (560 nucleotides) under Pseudofabraea citricarpa. RNAcentral's name for it is "SSU rRNA". It matches the Rfam family "Bacterial small subunit ribosomal RNA", at positions 1 to 915 of the family's 1533-position model. Lineage: Eukaryota; Fungi; Ascomycota; Leotiomycetes; Helotiales; Dermateaceae. The record is from RNAcentral.
UUUGGAGGAAUGGAAAGCUUCGGCUGACUAUGUUAGUAUCCAUUAAUACAAAAAAAAAUUAAUGGUUAAAAUGUUAAAAAGUAAAUAUUUUAAUAUUGCUAACGGUUUAGUGACUUUGUCACCUAAAGUUCUAGGUAGUAUACUGAUUAUGACAAUUUACUAUCUAUGUGUCUUGACCAAAUUACGUGCCAGCAGUCGCGGUAAUACGUAGAAGACUAGUGUUAUUUCAUCUUUAUUAGGUUUAAAGGGUACCUAGACGGUUUAAUUAGUCCAAAGUAGGAUACAGUUAAACUAGAGUUAUAUAUAAGAAGGUGAGUAUUUGUGGAGUAGAGUUGAAAUUCUGUGAUACCAUGAGGACUGGUAAGGGCGAAAGCAACCUUUUAUCUAAUAACUGACGUUGAGGGACGAAGGCUCGGGUCGCGAAGAGGAUUAGAUACCCUAGUAGUCCAAGCAGAUAAUGAUGAAUGCCAUAGAUUAGAUAAUAUUUAGUUUAUAAAUGAAAGUGCAAGCAUUCCACCUCAAGAGUAAUGUGGCAACACAGGAACUGAAAUCAUUAGACC